This 492-nucleotide ribosomal RNA is filed under the name uncultured bacterium. RNAcentral's name for it is "partial 16S ribosomal RNA". It matches the Rfam family "Bacterial small subunit ribosomal RNA", at positions 29 to 507 of the family's 1533-position model. The record is from RNAcentral.
AGUGAACGCUGGCGGUAGGCCUAACACAUGCAAGUCGAACGGCAGCACAGUAAGAGCUUGCUCUUACGGGUGGCGAGUGGCGGACGGGUGAGGAAUACAUCGGAAUCUACUUUUUCGUGGGGGAUAACGUAGGGAAACCUACGCUAAUACAGCAUACGACCUACGGGUGAAAGCAGGGGAUCUUCGGACCUUGCGCGAUUGAAUGAGCCGAUGUCGGAUUAGCUAGUUGGCGGGGUAAAGGCCCACCAAGGCGACGAUCCGUAGCUGGUCUGAGAGGAUGAUCAGCCACACUGGAACUGAGACACGGUCCAGAGUCCUACGAGAGGCAGCAGUGGGGAAUAUUAGACAAUGGGCGCAAGCCUGAUCCAGCCAUACCGCGUGUGUGAAGAAGGCGUUCGGGUUGUAAAGCCCUUUUGUUGGGAAAGAAAAGCAGCAGGUUAAUACCCCGCUGUUCUGACGGUACCCAAAGAAUAAGCACCGGCUAACUUCGUG